AAGUCGUAACAAGGUUUCCGUAGGUGAACCUGCGGAAGGAUCAUUAUAAAAAUUUUCUACAUAUUUUUUAAAUAUGUAAAAAAAAAAAUCUUGUAUUCAAAACCACGCUCUUAUAAAAAACCAUAAUAAAAAAAUUUGCAUAAAAUUUUUAUAUAUAUAAAUUAUAUAUAAUAUAAUUAAAAGACAACUUUCAACAACGGAUCUCUUGGCUCUC
RNAcentral lists this unclassified non-coding RNA (214 nucleotides) under fungal sp. Its description in RNAcentral is "partial internal transcribed spacer region". The stretch from base 1 to 46 matches the Rfam family "Eukaryotic small subunit ribosomal RNA", at positions 1786 to 1831 of the family's 1831-position model. Lineage: Eukaryota; Fungi. The record is from RNAcentral.